CCUGGCCGCGGGGGCGGGAACGAGCGCGGCAGAGGACCAGGCGCCGCGCCGCACCGCCCCCUGGGGGCCGGAGGACGCAGCCACAGCCCACCCCGCCAGGCCCGACGGCAGCCGCCAGAGCCGGCCGGAAAGCGCGAAAACGCGGGCUCUCGCCGCGCCCCCGGCCCAUCCGCCUCCUCGUCCCCCGCGGACCCGGACGCCUCAGCUUCACCGCCCUACCCCCCGCCGCCGCCCAAGCCCCCGCUGACUUUGACUUGGCUUCUCAGUUCGCCGGUUGGGGCAGCGACCAACGGCCUUCCCACCGCGCCUGCUCAGCGCGCCGGAAGCGCUCCCCCGCUGGGGAAGGCGGUGUAGGUGCGCGAGGGUUGUUCCCAUUUUGUGGACUCCCAGUUCUGUGACCCUGUGCCCAUACAGCAAUCCCCCGGACUGCAGACAUCCUGUAAGUUGAAACUGAGGCUCCGAGAGGAUAAGUGACUUACCACAAGGUCACAAGCGUGAGAUGAUAAGAACUGAACCACAUCUGCUGACUCCAGAGUCCAGCUGUUUCCCACCUUUCUGCACUGCCUG
Molecule: long non-coding RNA, 567 nt
Organism: Balaenoptera musculus (blue whale)
Lineage: Eukaryota; Metazoa; Chordata; Mammalia; Artiodactyla; Balaenopteridae
Exons: 3
Source: RefSeq, a predicted model, not a curated record